CAAGAAAGCAAUUACUAGGUAUUAUCAUAUUCCCUUAUCUGGAUGUUCAGAUAGCUAGGGAGAAUAUUCUCAGUAUUAGCAUAGUUUAGAAUUACUUGUUUUUUUGUUUUUAGGCUUUGCAAUCUCAUGAAGUUAUAGACUGACAGUAACUUAGAAUCAUUACAGUAGUUUAGUACUUUAAAAUACUGAAUUUUUUAAGUUACUUAGACUUCGACUAGAUCAGGUAUUAUUCUACUCAUUACAAAAAUAUAUCUGGGAAAUACGUUGGAUGGACUAGUCUGAAGGCUCACUGUCAGUACUUAUAACCUGAAAUGGCUCUGCAGGAAGUUGCAGAAUAUUGGUUGACGGGAAAGUCCAGUCCUUCUAUAAUAAGUGGGUGGAGGGAAUGUUUAAAUUGUGGAAAACCGCUUAGGACUUUUCAGUCACUGUGUUUUUGCACAUGUGAACGUACUUACUAUUCAGCGGCUACCAACUAACCUAGUCUGUAGCCGCCCAUGCUGGUCUUGAGGGCCAUGAAGAACUGAACCAUGAGGCCAUCUAAUUACAGUUUAUAGACACCCAAAGAUGCCCCUGUCAAACAUACAACAGCAGAGAAGUCCUGAGGUUGACGUGUGAGCAGGAGC
RNAcentral lists this long non-coding RNA (623 nucleotides) under Bos taurus (domestic cattle). RNAcentral describes it as "long non-coding RNA NONBTAT007645". The record is from RNAcentral. Lineage: Eukaryota; Metazoa; Chordata; Mammalia; Artiodactyla; Bovidae.